RNAcentral lists this ribosomal RNA (253 nucleotides) under uncultured bacterium. RNAcentral's name for it is "partial 16S ribosomal RNA". It matches the Rfam family "Bacterial small subunit ribosomal RNA", at positions 524 to 776 of the family's 1533-position model. The record is from RNAcentral.
UACGUAGGGGGCGAGCGUUACCCGGAUUUACUGGGCGUAAAGGGCGUGCAGGCGGUUUGUUAAGUGCAGGGUGAAAGCUCCCGGCUCAACUGGGAGAGGUCCUUGCAUACUGGCAAACUCGAGGGAGGCAGAGGAAAGUGGAAUUCCCGGUGUAGUGGUGAUAUGCGUAGAUAUCGGGAGGAACACCUGUGGCGAAGGCGGCUUUCUGGGCCUUACCUGACGCUGAGACGCGAAAGCGUGGGGAGCGAACCGG